This 71-nucleotide transfer RNA is filed under the name Diplonevra florescens. RNAcentral describes it as "tRNA-Lys". Lineage: Eukaryota; Metazoa; Arthropoda; Insecta; Diptera; Phoridae. The record is from RNAcentral.
CAUUAGAUGACUGAAAGUAAGUACUGGUCUCUUAAACCAUCCUAUAGUAGAGUAACAACUACUUCUAAUGA